RNAcentral lists this ribosomal RNA (410 nucleotides) under uncultured bacterium. RNAcentral describes it as "bacterial SSU rRNA". It matches the Rfam family "Archaeal small subunit ribosomal RNA", at positions 381 to 860 of the family's 1478-position model. The record is from RNAcentral.
CCAAGUGCGAGGGCAUAUUAGCCCUCGCUUUUCUCGACUGUAAGGUGGUCGACGAAUAAGAGCUGGGCAAGACCGGUGCCAGCCGCCGCGGUAAUACCGGCAGCUCAAGUGAUGUCCCAUAUUAUUGGGCCUAAAGCGUCCGUAGCUGGCCGACCAAGUCUCCCGGGAAAUCCACCCGCCCAACGGGUGGGCGUCCGGUAGAAACUGGCCGGCUUGGAACCGGAAGGCUCAGAGAGUACGUCCGGGGUAGGAGUGAAAUCCCGUAAUCCCGGACGGACUACCGAUGGCGGGUAGUCCGAGCUGUAAACGAUGCUCGUUAGGUGUGGCACCCACUACGAGUGGGUGCUGCGCCGUAGGGAAGCCGCUAAACGAGCCGCCUGGGAAGUACGUCCGCAAGGAUGAAACUCAAG